CCUACGGGAGGCAGCAGUGAGGAAUAUUGGUCAAUGGACGAGAGUCUGAACCAGCCAAGUAGCGUGAAGGAUGACUGCCCUAUGGGUUGUAAACUUCUUUUAUAUGGGAAUAAAAUGUUCCACGUGUGGGAUGUUGUAUGUACCAUAUGCAUAAGGAUCGGCUAACUCCGUGCCAGCAGCCGCGGUAAUACGGAGGAUCCGAUCGUUAUCCGGAUUUAUUGGGUUUAAAGGGAGCGUAGGGGGAUUGUUAAGUCAGUUGUGAAAGUUUGCGGCUCAACCGUAAAAUUGCAGUUGAAACUGGCAGUCUUGAGUACAGUAGAGGUGGGCGGAAUUCGUGGUGUAGCGGUGAAAUGCUUAGAUAUCACGAAGAACUCCGAUUGCGAAGGCAGCUCACUGGACUGCAACUGACACUGAGGCUCGAAAGUGUGGGUAUCAAACAGGAUUAGAUACCCCUGUAGUC
RNAcentral lists this ribosomal RNA (460 nucleotides) under uncultured bacterium. Its description in RNAcentral is "partial 16S ribosomal RNA". It matches the Rfam family "Bacterial small subunit ribosomal RNA", at positions 338 to 795 of the family's 1533-position model. The record is from RNAcentral.